UUUCCCGUCAUUGGGGAGUAGCCGCCCUGCGCCCGCAGGGGUCCGCGUCAACACACUUGGCCCUCACGGCCAUGGCGCGAACAGCUCCACGCCUGGCAAGACCUUUGACUGCACACCUUCCGGAACAAGGGCCGGGAAGGGUGCGGUCAUCUUGCGUCUGCAGGCCCUGGAGU
This 173-nucleotide small RNA is filed under the name Rhizobacter sp. Root1221. RNAcentral's name for it is "Manganese Mn2+ riboswitch aptamer (yybP-ykoY)". It matches the Rfam family "Manganese Mn2+ riboswitch aptamer (yybP-ykoY)". Rfam says of the family: This RNA was originally discovered in E. coli during a large scale screen and was named SraF. RNAcentral also lists the same sequence under 1 other name. Lineage: Bacteria; Pseudomonadati; Pseudomonadota; Betaproteobacteria; Burkholderiales; Sphaerotilaceae. The record is from Rfam by way of RNAcentral.